Molecule: ribosomal RNA, 370 nt
Filed under: uncultured organism
Description: bacterial SSU rRNA
Rfam family: Bacterial small subunit ribosomal RNA
Source: RNAcentral
CGUAGGGCGCAAGCGUUAUCCGGAAUUAUUGGGCGUAAAGCGUGCGCAGGCGGUUUUGUAAGACAGGCGUGAAAUCCCCGGGCUCAACCUGGGAACUGCGCUUGUGACUGCAAGGCUAGAGUACGGCAGAGGGGGUGGAAUUCCACGUGUAGCAGUGAAAUGCGUAGAGAUGUGGAGGAACACCAAUGGCGAAGGCAGCCCCCUGGGUCGAUACUGACGCUCAUGCACGAAAGCGUGGGUAGCAAACAGGAUUAGAUACCCUGGUAGUCCACGCCUAAACGAUGUCAACUAGGUGUUGGGUGGGUAAAACCAUUUAGUACCGGAGCUAACGCAUGAAGUUGACCGCCUGGGGAGUACGGCCGCAAGGUUA